RNAcentral lists this transfer RNA (93 nucleotides) under Desulfofarcimen acetoxidans DSM 771. RNAcentral's name for it is "Desulfotomaculum acetoxidans DSM 771 Selenocysteine transfer RNA". It matches the Rfam family "Selenocysteine transfer RNA". The record is from Rfam by way of RNAcentral. Lineage: Bacteria; Bacillati; Bacillota; Clostridia; Eubacteriales; Peptococcaceae.
GGGGAGAAAGGCACCGGUGUGUCUCGCAGACUGCAAAUCUGCUGACCUGCCCGCGAUCCGGGCGGGGGUCCGGUUCAACUCCGACUUCUCCCC